This 846-nucleotide ribosomal RNA is filed under the name uncultured bacterium. Its description in RNAcentral is "bacterial SSU rRNA". It matches the Rfam family "Bacterial small subunit ribosomal RNA", at positions 44 to 884 of the family's 1533-position model. The record is from RNAcentral.
GUGCCUAACACAUGCAAGUCGAACGGUAACAGGUCUUCGGAUGCUGACGAGUGGCGCACGGGUGAGUAACGCGUGGAUAUCUGCCUAUUAGUGGGGGACAACUUAUGGAAACGUAAGCUAAUACCGCAUAAUCCCUACGGGGGAAAGCAGGGGACCUUUCGGGGCCUUGUGCUGAUAGAUGAGUCCGCGUCUGAUUAGCUAGUUGGUAAGGUAAAGGCUUACCAAGGCGAUGAUCAGUAUCUGGUUUGAGAGGAUGAUCAGACACACUGGAACUGAGACACGGUCCAGACUCCUACGGGAGGCAGCAGUGGGGAAUAUUGCACAAUGGGCGCAAGCCUGAUGCAGCGACGCCGCGUGUGGGAAGAAGGCCUUCGGGUUGUAAACCACUUUCAAUUGGGAAGAAGAGAUGAGGUUUAAUACACUUCUGAUUUGACGGUACCUUUAGAAGAAGCACCGGCUAAUUUCGUGCCAGCAGCCGCGGUAAUACGAAAGGUGCAAGCGUUGUUCGGAUUUACUGGGCGUAAAGAGAGUGUAGGUGGUUUAUUAAGUCGGAUGUGAAAUCCCGGGGCUCAACCUCGGAACUGCAUUCGAUACUGAUAGGCUAGAGUUUGGGAGGGGUAAGCGGAAUUCCGUGUGUAGCAGUGAAAUGCGUAGAUAUACGGAGGAACACCUGAGGCGAAGGCGGCUUACUGGACCAAUACUGACACUGAGACUCGAAAGCGUGGGUAGCAAACAGGAUUAGAUACCCUGGUAGUCCACGCCCUAAACGAUGUCAACUAGCCGUUGCGGGUAUCGACCCCUGCAGUGGCGAAGCUAACGCGAUAAGUUGACCGCCUGGGGAGUACG